AGUGAACGCUGGCGGCAGGCCUAACACAUGCAAGUCGAACGGCAGCACAGCAGUAGCAAUACUGUGGGUGGCGAGUGGCGGACGGGUGAGGAAUACAUGGGAAUCUGCCCUGUCGUGGGGGAUAACGUAGGGAAACUUACGCUAAUACCGCAUACGACCGGAAGGUGAAAGCGGCGGACCGCAAGGCGUCGCGCGACUGGAUGAGCCCAUGUCGGAUUAGCUAGUUGGCGGGGUAAAGGCCCACCAAGGCGACGAUCCGUAGCUGGUCUGAGAGGAUGAUCAGCCACACUGGAACUGAGACACGGUCCAGACUCCUACGGGAGGCAGCAGUGGGGAAUAUUGGACAAUGGGCGCAAGCCUGAUCCAGCCAUGCCGCGUGAGUGAAGAAGGCCUUCGGGUUGUAAAGCUCUUUUGUCCGGAAAGAAAAGCUCUCGGUUAAUACCCGGGGGUUCUGACGGUACCGGAAGAAUAAGCACCGGCUAACUUCGUGC
Molecule: ribosomal RNA, 491 nt
Filed under: uncultured bacterium
Lineage: Bacteria
Description: bacterial SSU rRNA
Rfam family: Bacterial small subunit ribosomal RNA
Source: RNAcentral